RNAcentral lists this ribosomal RNA (262 nucleotides) under uncultured bacterium. Its description in RNAcentral is "partial 16S ribosomal RNA". It matches the Rfam family "Bacterial small subunit ribosomal RNA", at positions 524 to 778 of the family's 1533-position model. The record is from RNAcentral.
UACGAAGGGUGCAAGCGUUAAUCGGAAUUACUGGGCGUAAAGCGUGCGUAGGCGGUUUCUUAAGUCCGUUGUGAAAGCCCUGGGCUCAACCUGGGAACUGCGAUGGAUACUGAGGAGCUGGAGUACGGUAGAGGAAGGUGGAAUUCCCGGUGUAGCGGUGAAAAUGCGUAGAUAUCGUGAGGAAGACCAGUGGCGAAAGGCGGGGUCUCUGGACAGUUCCUUGACACUGAGGCACGAAGGCCCAGGGGGGAGCAAAACGGGG